GGAGGACAGGUGGUGCCUGGUUGUCGUCAGCUCGUGUCGUGAGAUGUUGGGUUAAGUCCCGCAACCGAGCGCAACCCCUACGUUUAGUUGCUAACGCGUGAAGGCGAGCACUCUAGACGAACUGCCGUUGACAAACGGAGGAAGGUGGGAUGACGUCAAAUCAUCAUGCCCUUAUGUUCUGGGCUACACACGUGCUACAAUGGCCGGUACAGACGGAUGCAAAGCCGCGAGGCGGAGCAAAUCCGAAAAAGCCGGUCUCAGUUCGGAUUGCAGGCUGCAAUUCGCCUGCAUGAAGUCGGAAUCGCUAGUAAUCGCAGGUCAGCAUACUGCGGUGAAUACGUUCCCGGGCCUU
RNAcentral lists this ribosomal RNA (352 nucleotides) under uncultured Pelotomaculum sp. Its description in RNAcentral is "bacterial SSU rRNA". It matches the Rfam family "Bacterial small subunit ribosomal RNA", at positions 1029 to 1382 of the family's 1533-position model. The record is from RNAcentral. Lineage: Bacteria; Bacillati; Bacillota; Clostridia; Eubacteriales; Desulfotomaculaceae.